GUCUUUUUGAUUAUAAUUUAAAGUUUAACCUGCCCACUGAAAUUUAAAUGGCCGCAGUAUUUUGACUGUGCAAAGGUAGCAUAAUCAUUAGUUUCUUAAUUAGAAGCUGGUAUGAAUGGUUGGACGAGAGACUUACUGUCUCAAUUUAUAUUUUAAAAUUUUAUAUUUAAGUUAAAAAGCUUAAAUAGUUUUAAAAGACGAGAAGACCCUAUAGAGUUUUAUAUUUUAAGUAAUUUUUAUUUUAGAAAUUUUUUUAUUAUUUAAUUUAUUUUAUUGGGGUGAUAUAUAAAUUAGUAAAACUUUAUAUUGUUAAAAACAUUAAUUUAUGAAUUUAUGAUCCAUUAUUAAUGAUUAAAAGAAAAAAUUACCUUAGGGAUAACAGCGUUAUUUUUUUUUAGAGUUCAAAUCGAAAAAAAAGUUUGCGACCUCGAUGUUGGAUUAAAAUUAAUUUAUGGUGUAGAAGCUAUAAUAUUAGGUCUGUUCGACCUUUAAAAUUUUACAUGAUCUGAGUUUAAACCGGCGUGAGCCAGGUUGGUUUCUAUCUUUAAAUAAUUUAAAUAUUUUAGUACGAAAGGACCAAUUAUUUUUAAUAUUUAAUUAAUUUUGAUUA
Molecule: ribosomal RNA, 610 nt
Filed under: Hydraena cf. rhinoceros IBE RA319
Lineage: Eukaryota; Metazoa; Arthropoda; Insecta; Coleoptera; Hydraenidae
Description: partial 16S ribosomal RNA
Rfam family: Bacterial large subunit ribosomal RNA (bases 375-533)
Source: RNAcentral